CUCUCUUUAAGUUUAAACAUGUUGUAUCUGUUCUUAUCAGUUUGUAUCUGUUCUUAUCAGUUUAAUAUCUGAUACGUCCCCUAUCUGGGGACCAUAUAUUAAAUGGAUUUUUGAGAACGGGGGCCGAUUUCGAAGCUUGCUUCCGUCGCCCUAUGCAUUGACCCGAUAUGGCAGUAUCUUCGGGUACAGUGCACCACCC
This is a small nuclear RNA of Hyla sarda, 199 nucleotides long. RefSeq annotates it as U2 spliceosomal RNA. NCBI's taxonomy places the organism in Eukaryota, Metazoa, Chordata, Amphibia, Anura, Hylidae. The record is from RefSeq and is a predicted model, not a curated record. The transcript has a single exon.